RNAcentral lists this small RNA (33 nucleotides) under Arabidopsis thaliana (thale cress). Its description in RNAcentral is "ATSL296000". Lineage: Eukaryota; Viridiplantae; Streptophyta; Magnoliopsida; Brassicales; Brassicaceae. The record is from RNAcentral.
GAAAGGGAAAGGAAUAUUGAAGACUGGGCAUGG